RNAcentral lists this long non-coding RNA (1276 nucleotides) under Phasianus colchicus (ring-necked pheasant). Its description in RNAcentral is "lncRNA (ENSPCLG00000017076.1)". Lineage: Eukaryota; Metazoa; Chordata; Aves; Galliformes; Phasianidae. The record is from RNAcentral.
AUAUCACUUUGGGGACCCUCUUAUCAAUCUGGGGACACCUCUGUCACCUUGGGGUGCUCCCCCCCCCCAUCACCUCGAAGACUCUCUUAUCAGUUUAGGGACACCUCUUAUCACCUUGGGGACUCUCUUAUCACUUUGGGACCCUCUUAUCAAUUCGGGGACCCUCUUGUCGCCUUGAGGACCCUCUUAUCAAUUUGGGGACCCCCCCUCACCUUGGGGACCCUCUUAUCAAUUUGGGGAUCCUCUUAUCAAGCUGGGGACAUCUCUGUCACCUUGGGGACCCCCUUAUCAAUUUGGGGACCCGUUAUCAAUUUAGGGACACCUCUAUCAGGUUGGGGACCCUCUUGUCACCUUGGGGACCCUCUUAUCAAUUUGGGGACACCUCUUACCACCUUGGGGACUCCCUUAUCAAUUUAAGGAUCCCCUUAUCACCUUGGGGACACCUCUAUCAGGUUGGGGACUCUCGUGUCACCUUGGGGACCCCCUUAUCAGCUUGGGGACCCCCUUAUCAACUUGGGGACACCUCUAUCAGGUUGGGGACUCUCGUGUCACCUUGGGGACCCUCUUAUCAGCUUGGGGAUCCCCUUAUCAACUUGGGGACACCUCUAUCAGGUUGGGGACUCUCGUGCCACCUUGGGGACCCUCUUGUCCCCUUGGGGACACCCUUAUCAAUUUGGGGACACCUCUUAUCACCUUGGGGACCCCCCGUAUCGAUUUGGGGACCCCAGCAGUGUCACCGUGCCGAUGCCAUUUAUUGCGCAGCGCCCCCAUCCCAGCGACGGACAAAAUGUCCCCAAAUGUCACCGGGGCGGUGCCAAAUGUCCCCAAAUGUCACCGACGCCACCGCCGGGGACGCAGCACCGUGUCCCCCUUGCCACGUGCUGGUCCCAUGUCCUCACGGCGUCGGUGUCCCCUCGGUGUCCCCAUGGAGUCGAUGUCCCCUCGGUGUCCCCAAGCUGUCCCCAAGCUGUCCCCAAGCUGUCCCCUACCCACGCGUGUCCCGCAGCGCCCGCUCCUCCUGGAUCCGCAGCACCCGCUGCUUCAGUGCUGCCAUCUCCCGGCGCUGGGGACGUGGGGACAAAGGGACAGACGUGGGGACAGGGAUGGGGACAUGCGGACGUGAGAACAAAGGGACAGACGUGGGGACGUGGGGACAGGGAUGGGGACAUGGGGAUGAAGGGAUAGAUGUGGGGACGUGGGGACAGGGAUGGGGACAUGGGGACACUUUGGGGACACACUGGCGACAUGUUGGGGACACAUUGGGGACACAUUGGGG